AACUUUUAGCAACGGAUCUCUUGGCUCUCGCAUCGAUGAAGAACGCAGCGAAAUGCGAUAAGUAAUGUGAAUUGCAGAAUUCAGGGAAUCAUCGAAUCUUGGAACGCACCUUGCACCCUUUGGCAUUCCGAAGGGUAUGCUCGUUUGAGUGUCAUUGUACUCUCACACUCCCGAUGCUUUUGGAUUGGGAGUGGUGGACUUGGGUGUUGCUGCUUUACUGUGGCUCACCUCAACUGGAGUAGUGCACCUCUUGGUUGGUCAUACUACGGCGUCAUAAGUGUCUUCGCCGUCGCCUCAUUAUAGGGUCGACGAUCGGGAGCACUCUGCUUCACACCGUCUACGGACAACAUCUGACAACUUGACCUCAAAUCGAGUAGGCCUACCCGCUGAACUUAAGCAUAUCAAUAAGCGGAGGCU
RNAcentral lists this unclassified non-coding RNA (417 nucleotides) under uncultured Sebacina. Its description in RNAcentral is "sequence contains ITS2". The stretch from base 1 to 154 matches the Rfam family "5.8S ribosomal RNA". Lineage: Eukaryota; Fungi; Basidiomycota; Agaricomycetes; Sebacinales; Sebacinaceae. The record is from RNAcentral.